GGAAUUGCAAUCUAAUGAUUUUUUAUGCAAAACGAUUUUUAACUAACAACAACUUGAUUAACAUAAAAUUUUAUUUGUAUUAUUUGAUAGGCGAACAACAACUAAUUUUCCAUUGCUAAUACAAUAUGAAAAGUAAUAUGCAAGAAUCAAUCUCACCCAUCAAUCAAGAGAAAUUAAAUGUCAAUACUAAAGUUUAGGGUAAUUCCCCCUAAUCUUAGGCUUUAGUUCCUCAUCUUUCCUUGUACAAUAUGUAAUCACUUGUAUAAAGCUAGAACAUGCAGUAAUACAAUAUAUCUUUCAACCAUUCAAACCUUUUGUCUCAAUAUGGUAUCAGAGCUUUUUUAAGCUCACACGAGUCAUUGAUCCUUGGCCUUGGCCUGUUUCCUUUCUUUUUUUAAUUUUCUUUUCCUUACAGCAUCAGGCUUCACCAUGGCCAAUGAAAACUCAGCUACUUCUAGCAUUAACCAAACUUUUACAAACAUGAAUCCCAACAAUCUCAUUGCUAUAAAUGCAGCCACCCAACUCCCUCUAAAAUUAACACCAACAAACUACUAUUCGUGGAAGACGCAAUUUGAUGCACUUCUCUAUGGAUAUGAUUUGCUCAGCUACAUUGAUGGCACCAAACCUUGCCCAUCUCCAGAGACAACAGUUGAUGAAAAGAUAGUUCCAAACCCAGAUUUCACCCUUUGGAUGUGACAAGACAAGCUUCUUCUUCUCGGCAUCAUCGGCUCACUUAGCCACAAAGCUGUACCUAUAAUUCGUUCAUGCAAAACAUCUGCUGAAGCCUGGAAUCGCCUUGCCAAACUUUAUGCCAAUCCUUCAUCCUCCAGAACUAUGGGAUUGGCUGAGCAACUUACUCUCAUUAACAGAGGCUCCCAACCUGUCGCUGACUAUCUUGCCACAAUUCGUGACAUUGCUGAUGAAUUAGCUUUAAUUGGAGCCCCAGUUCCAAAUCAAUAUCUUAUCACCCAUACUCUUAAUGGUGUGGGAACUGAAUUCAAAGAACUUGCAGCUGCAGUACGGGCACGAGAUACAGUGAUUAGUUUUGAUGAACUAUAUGAAAAACUUGUUGAAUAUGAGGCUUUCCUCAAACGCGAAAACCUUCGCUCCAGUGGAAAUCUUGGCAAUAUGACAGCUAAUGCUGCUCGUUUUCCCACAAAAAAUGGAAACCAAGCCAACAAAAAAAUUUUCCAUAAUAAUAAUGGAAAUCAAGGCCAACAUCCUCCUAAUUCGGGCAACAAUCAGGGACACAACUUUAACAAUUACAAUUCAGGCAACCAUCACUCAGGCAAAAAUUCCAAUGUGGUUUGUUAAUUUUGUGAGAAACAGGGUCAUACUGCUCGACAAUGUAAUUCUGCUAAAAAGUUGUUCUCCCACUCUUCAGCCCCUACCGCCAAUCCCACCACCACCAAUAAUUCCUCACCUAAUUGGCUUUUAGAUACAGGAGCAUCUCACCAUGUCACAUCUAAUCUCAACAAUUUAUCACUCAGUCAACCUUAUGAAGGUCCUGAUGACAUUGUUAUAGGUGAUGGUACAGGUUUGCAUAUUACUCAUGUUGGCCACUCCACUCUCUCCACUCCCUCAAACUCAUUCACUCUUUCUAAUGUGCUAUGUGUUCCUUCUAUGAAACAAAAUUUAGUCUCUGUCUCUCAAUUUUGUAAAAAUAAUAAUACUUCAAUUGAAUUUUUUCCAUCUUUCUUUUGUGUGAAGGAUCUGUCCACGGGAGCACAUCUCGCUCGAGGGCGGAGCAAGAAUAAUGUUUAUGAAUGGUCCAAUAUGGGAGUAUCUACAACAAUGAAGCAAGCUUGCAUGGGAGUCAAAGUCUCUCUUGAGAAUUGGCAUAAUCGACUUGGUCACCCAUCCACCAAAACACUUCGUCAUGUGGUCUCCCAAAAUGAUCUUCCUGUGUUUCCUAAUUCAUCUUCAUCAUUAUUUUGUGAUUCCUGUCAAUGCAAUAAAAGUCAUAAGUUACCAUUUGGUACUUCAACUUUACAAAGUCGUUUUCCAUUAGAUCUCAUCUAUACUGAUGUAUGGGGACCUUCUCCAAUUCGUUCAAUAGAUGGUUAUUCUUACUACAUCAUUUUUGUUGAUCAUUUUACAAAAUACUCAUGGUUAUUUCCAUUAUCCUACAAAUCUGAGGCCUUUACAAUAUUCCCCAAAUUCAAAACAAUGGUAGAAAAUUAUUUCAAUUCCACCAUUCGCACUAUUUAUUCUGAUGGAGGAAAAGAAUAUUAUGGCCUAAAAUCCUUAUUUGAAAAAUAUGGAAUCCAGCAUCUUAUAUCUCCACCAUACACUCCUCAACAUAUUGCUUCCGCUGAACGUCGUCAUAGACAUGUCGUAGAAACGGGUUUAACCCUUCUUCACAAGGCAUCCUUACCUUUGUCACUUUGGCCAUUUGCCUUUAAAACUGCAAUAUAUCUCAUUAAUAGACUUCCUACACCUAUUCUUAAGGAUAAAUCUCCAUUUGAGUCUCUUUUCCAUCAUAAGCCUAAUUAUUCUAAACUCCGAACUUUUGGGUGCUUGUGUUAUCCAUGGUUGCGUCCUUAUACAAAACAUAAGCUUGAACAACGUUCCAAAUCAUGUCUAUUCCUUGGUUACUCUAAUGUCCAUAAUUCUUACAUCUGUUUUGAUCCACAAGAUCACAAAUUUUAUUUUUCUCGUCACGUCCAAUUUGUUGAAAGUGUGUUUCCUUCCUUCUCUAUGUCAAAUGAAUAUGACAGAAUUAAUUCUUACACUUUACAAAAAUGGUCAGUCGCAUCUCCCUCCCUUAAAUCUCUCCAACAAGACCUUCCUUUUUCAGAUCAGUCUUCUUCAAACAUACCUCCUUUGUCACCGAAAAAUCUCUCUCCAUUAACUACUCUUUUACCCAUUACAUCUCCUUCCAAAUGCGAUACACCUAUUGACAAAAGAACACAAGGAUCUCCCACCAAAUCGUUGCCUUCAUCAACAUCCAGUCAUUUCUCCACCAAUAAUGGUAACUCCUCAAAUCAUGCACUUUCUCAUGGGCCAAGUCAGCCCACAUCAAAAUCCUCUCCUUCUCGGUCCGUUAUCCCUUUAAUGACCAAUUCUGAUGCCGAUUAUGAAUCCAUGCAAGAUUGUGAUCUUCAACAUGUGGUUGAUCCUCCCAUAUUGGAUACCAAUCAACCAACGUUUUCAGGCUCCUAUUCUAGUGAGAUGCACUCUAUCAAUGAACUUGUUCAUGUUCCAGUGCUAGCUCCUCCUACAACUAUACAAACCCGAUUAAAAAAUAACAUUUUCAAACCUAAAAAUUUUUUUUCCCUCACUGCUACUAAGCAUUUGAUCCCUCCAUCACUUGAACCCACUACCACCACUGAAGCCCUCAAACACAAAGAGUGGAGAGAUGCUAUGUGUGAAGAGCUUGAUGCCUUAAAAAAAAAUGGCACAUGGGAAUUGGUGCCUCCUGCAGCUCAUCAAAAUGUUAUCGGAUGCAAAUGGGUCUUUCGAAUAAAAAGAAAUCCUGAUGGUAGCAUUGCUCGGUAUAAAGCACGUCUUGUUGCCAAAGGUUUCCAUUAACGACCCGGUCUGGAUUACAAAGAGACGUUCAGUCCUGUUGUAAAACCAACCACAAUUCGAGUUGUUCUCUCUAUUGCCAUAUCCCAAUGAUGGAACGUGAAUCAAUUAGAUGUCAACAACGCAUUCCUUCAUGGGCAUAUUGCUGAAAAUGUUUAUAUGUCACAGCCCCCUGGCUUCAAAGAUCACUCUCAGCCACAUCAUGUUUGUCGCUUGCACCAGUCUCUUUAUGGCUUGAAGCAAGCAUAGAUACUGUGAUUAGUUUCGAUGAACUACUUGACAAACUUGUUGAAUAUGAGGCUUUCCUCAAACUUGAAGAGCUUCGCUCCAGUGGAAUCUUGUGAACUCUUGCUCUGACUCUUCAUUAUUUGUAUACUCUGAUAGUCUAUACUAAUCUAUUUUUUAGUUUAUGUGGAUGACUUGUUGAUUACAGGAAAUUCUUCAAGCUUUAUUCGUCAAGUUAUUGACUCUCUCUCCAAGCGAUUUUCCAUUAAGGAUCUUGGUCAUCUUCAUUAUUUCCUUGGUGUGGAGGUGAUUCCUACAACUCACGGGAUAUUCCUCUCUCAACAGAAAUAUAUUCGUGAUCUUUUAGCCAAAUUCAAAAUGGAGGGUAUCAAAGAUUGUGUGACUCCUCUUAGUUGUACUACACGCCUCAUGCUCAAUGAUGGCUCGCCAAAAGUUGAUGCUUCUCAAUACCGUAGUCUUAUUGGCGGCAUGCAAUACCUUUCGCUUACACGACCAGAUAUGGCCUAUGCAAUAAACAAAUUGGCGCAAUAUAUGCAUUCUCCCAGUCAAACGCAUUGGACAGCGGCAAAACGUUUACUUCGAUACUUGAAGCACACUCUCACGUAUGGUCUCUUUAUACGUCCCUCACAGCCAUUGUCUUUGACAGCCUUCUCGGAUGCUGAUUGGGCUGGAAAUCGUGAUGAUUGUACCUCUAUAUCAGCCUUUGUUAUUUUUCUUGGUGGCAACCCAGUGUCUUGGUGUUCUAAGAAGCAACGGACAGUAGCUCGCUCCUCAACAGAGGCUGAAUAUCACUCAGUUGCAUCAGCUGCUGCUGAAAUUACUUGGCUAACCAAUCUUCUUCAAGAGUUACACGUCUCUCUCCCCAAGCCACCUCGCCUUUUGUGUGAUAACAUUGGUGCUACAUACUUGUGCGUCAAUCCAGUUUUUCACUCAAGAAUGAAACAUUUUGCUCUGGAUUUUCAUUUCGUAUGGGAAAAAGUCUCUAAUGGUUCACUUCAAAUAGCUCAUGUCUCUACUUAUAAUCAGCUUGUAGAUGUGCUUACCAAACCACUUGCCAAGCCUCGUUUCACUCACCUUUGAUCCAAGAUUGGUGUUUCCGAUGGAAACGCCAUCUUGCGGGGGCAUAAUAGGCAAGAAUCAAUCUCACUCAUCAAUCAAGAGAAAUUAAAUGUCAAUACUAAAGUUUAGGGUAAUUCCCCCUAAUCUUAGGCUUUAGUUCCUCAUCUUUCCUUGUACAAUAUGUAAUCACUUGUAUAAAGCUAGAACAUGCAGUAAUACAAUAUAUCUUUCAACCAUUCAAACCUUUUGUCUCAACAAAAAGGAACAUGUUAGCUGCAAUCCAAUUGCUACCUUUUCAAGCCCAGCAGCAGUAGUAGCAGGUUGAAGUAGUCAAAAUCGUAAGCCAACCUGAGGAACUUCAUCUUGAAGUCAUUCCAUGGCGGAUACCUCGGC
RNAcentral lists this long non-coding RNA (5229 nucleotides) under Citrus sinensis (sweet orange). RNAcentral's name for it is "long non-coding RNA (CSIN_LNC000450)". The record is from RNAcentral. Lineage: Eukaryota; Viridiplantae; Streptophyta; Magnoliopsida; Sapindales; Rutaceae.